GUCGGGAGUACAGUAAGACGAGUUUCUGAAGUCAUACAGUUUUUGUUUUCUUGUUUGCAGUAUUCUUAAGGGCUGAUUCAGUUUUUUUAUUUCUCAGUCUUGGUAAUAUGGAGAUGCAACAUUUUUAAACUGGGUCCCAAAUUUCGCUUUAAGAAAUUCGUGCGACUUCAAAAAUUCGGUAUGUUCAAUAACCACAGGUAAGUCAGAUUUAGAUUGUU
This 218-nucleotide long non-coding RNA is filed under the name Mytilus galloprovincialis (Mediterranean mussel). The record is from RNAcentral. Lineage: Eukaryota; Metazoa; Mollusca; Bivalvia; Mytilida; Mytilidae.